This 55-nucleotide small nuclear RNA is filed under the name Homo sapiens (human). Its description in RNAcentral is "U7 small nuclear RNA". It matches the Rfam family "U7 small nuclear RNA". Rfam says of the family: Animal histone pre-mRNAs are spliced by a different mechanism than nuclear pre-mRNAs and self-splicing introns. This processing involves the U7 snRNP, which contains only one RNA species: U7. The record is from Rfam by way of RNAcentral. Lineage: Eukaryota; Metazoa; Chordata; Mammalia; Primates; Hominidae.
CAGUGUUAUAGCUUUUAGAAUUUGUCUAGUAGGUUUUCUGGCUUUGAAAGCUCCA